RNAcentral lists this ribosomal RNA (486 nucleotides) under uncultured bacterium. RNAcentral's name for it is "bacterial SSU rRNA". It matches the Rfam family "Bacterial small subunit ribosomal RNA", at positions 30 to 514 of the family's 1533-position model. The record is from RNAcentral.
AUUGAACGCUGGCGGCAUGCUUUACACAUGCAAGUCGAACGGCAGCGGGGGCUUCGGCCCGCCGGCGAGUGGCGAACGGGUGAGGAAUGCAUCGGAACGUGCCCAGUCGUGGGGGAUAACACAUCGAAAGAUGUGCUAAUACCGCAUACGUCCUGAGGGAGAAAGCGGGGGAUCUUCGGACCUCACGUGAUUGGAGCGGCCGAUGUCAGAUUAGCUAGUUGGUGAGGUAAAGGCUCACCAAGGCGACGAUCUGUAGCGGGUCUGAGAGGAUGAUCCGCCACACUGGGACUGAGACACGGCCCAGACUCCUACGGGAGGCAGCAGUGAGGAAUAUUGGUCAAUGGACGCAAGUCUGAACCAGCCACGUCGCGUGAAGGAAGACGGCCCUACGGGUUGUAAACUUCUUUUAUACGGGAAUAAAGUGCCCCACGCGUGGGUUUUGCGAUGUACCGUAUGAAUAAGGAUCGGCUAACUCCGUGCCAGCAG